UACAGAGACUGCGAGCGUUAUUCGGAUUCACUGGGCGUAAAGGGUGCGCAGGCGGCCAAGUGUGUGAGGCGUGAAAGCCCGGGGCUUAACCCCGGAAUUGCACCUCAAACUACAUGGCUAGAGCAUUGGAGAGGGUAGCAGAAUUCAUGGUGUAGCGGUGAAAUGCGCAGAGAUCGGGAGGAACACCCGUAGCGAAGGCGGCACUCUGGGCCGGUACUGACGCUGAGGAGCGAAAGCGUGGGGAGCAAACAGG
RNAcentral lists this ribosomal RNA (253 nucleotides) under uncultured bacterium. RNAcentral's name for it is "partial 16S ribosomal RNA". It matches the Rfam family "Bacterial small subunit ribosomal RNA", at positions 524 to 776 of the family's 1533-position model. The record is from RNAcentral.